RNAcentral lists this long non-coding RNA (17383 nucleotides) under Triticum aestivum (bread wheat). Its description in RNAcentral is "long non-coding RNA (TAES_LNC008911)". Lineage: Eukaryota; Viridiplantae; Streptophyta; Magnoliopsida; Poales; Poaceae. The record is from RNAcentral.
UAUAUGAUUGUAUUUUGGAUGAUGUAUGAUGAUAUUUAUGUAUUGUGUGAAGUGGCGAUUGUAAGCCAACUCUUUAUCCCAUUCUUGUUCAUUACAUGGGAUUGUGUGAAGAUGCCCUUCUUGCGACAAAACCACUAUGCGGUUAUGCCUCUAAGUCGUGCCUCGACACGUGGGAGAUAUAGCCGCAUCGUUGGCGUUACACCCAUUCCGUUAGCUUAGCAUUUGAUCGUUUAGUAUAUUGAUAUUGCUUUCUUCAUGACUUAUACAUGUUCCUAUGACUAUGAGAUUAUGCAACUCCCGGAUACCGGAGGAACACUUUGUGUGCUACCAAAUGUCACAACGUAACUGGAUGAUUAUAAAGGUGCUCUACAGGUGUCUCCGAUGGUACUUGUUGAGUUGGCAUAGAUCAAGAUUAGGAUUUGUCACUCCGAUUGUCGGAGAGGUAUCUCUGGGCCCUCUCGGUAAUGCACAUCACUAUAAGCCUUGCAAGCAAUGCAACUAAUGAGUUAGUUGCGGGAUUAUGUAUUACGGAACGAGUAAAGAGACUUGCCGGUAACGAGAUUGAACUAGGUAUUGAGAUACCAACGAUCGAAUCUCGGGCAAGUAACAUACCGAUGACAAAGGGAACAACAUAUGAUGUUAUGCGGUUUGACCGAUAAAGAUCUUCGUAGAAUAUGUAGGAUCCAAUAUGAGCAUCCAGGUUCUGCUAUUGGUUAUUGACCGGAAACGUGUCUCGGUCAUGUCUACAUAGUUCUCGAACCCGUAGGGUCCGCACGCUUAACAUUCGGUGACGAUCGGUAAUAUGAGUUUAUGUGUUUUGAUGAACCGAAGGUAGUUCGGAGUCCCGGAUAUGAUCACGGACAUGACGAGGAGUCUCUAAAUGGUCGAGACAUAAAGAUCGAUAUAUUGGAAGCCUAUAUUUGGACAUCGGAAUAGUUCCGAGUGAAAUCGGGAUUUUACCAGAGUACCGGGAGGUUACCGGAACCCCCCGGUAAGUGUAUGGGCCUUAUUGGGCCAUAGUGGAGAGAGAGAGGAGACCAGGGCAGGCCGCGCCCCCCCUCUCCCUCCAGUCCGAAUUGGACUAGGAGGGGGGCGACGCCCCCCUUUCCUUCCUCCCUCUCUCCCCCUUCCUUCUCUCCUAGUCCAACUAGGGAAGGGGGGAAUCCUACUCCCGAUGGGAGUAGGACUCCUCCAGGGUGCGCCAUAGGAGGGCCGGCCCUUCCCCCUCCUCCACUCCUUUAUAUAUGUGGCCAAGGGGCACCCCAUAGACACACAAGUUGAUCAGUUGAUCUUUUAGCCGUGUGCGGUGCCCCCCUCCACCAUAAUCCACCUCGGUCAUAUCGUAGCGGUGCUUAGGCGAAGCCCUGCGUUGGUAGCAUCAUCAACACUGUCAUCACGCCGUCGUGCUGACGGAACUCUCCCUCGAAGCUCUAUUGGAUCGUGAGUUCGUGGGACGUCACCGAGCUGAACGUGUGCUGAAAUCGGAGGUGCCGUGUGUUCGGUACUUGGAUCGGUCGGAUCAUGAAGACAUAUGACUACAUCAAUCGUGUUGUCAUAACGCUUCCGCUUACGGUCUACGAGGGUAGACGACACUCUCCCCUCUCGUUGCUAUGCAUCACCAUGAUCUUGCGUGUGCGUAGGAUUUUUUUUGAAAUUACUACGUUCCCCAAUAGAAGGAUGGACGGUCAAUCAUCCACAGGCACUGGCCUAAAGUUACAAAGACCUUCAACAUCAAUGAAGGCUCAAUAUUCUCCUUCUGCUUCAGCAGUUUUCCAGAUGAGAUACAUCUCUCUAUGUACCGUCUAUGAUGCUAAUUUCGAAAAGUUAUAGAUGUUGCAUGUGAAACUUGGUGCUGGUGUAGUUGUGUAAUGGGGUAGUUGACUGCUGAAGCUAUAUGAUGUUGUACUCUGAUGUAUUUCAAUUAUGAAAAUGAAAUAUAUUGUGUGCUUAAUAUGAAAUGUCAAUUAGAUUAAUAAAUGGAUUAUUAAUAAUCGGAUAAUUAGCCUACUAAUUGGGUUUUUCUAUUGCAACGGUUAUUGAGAAAACACCAUGUGCGAUGCAUUCAAUAACGCACACAGUUUCUAGGAAUAAACCGUGUUAGACUAAUGAACAAUCACACACGACAUCCUCUUCAAAACUGUUUGCGUUAGGCCACCUCGCGCAAACGUUUACCACAUAAAAAUUGUGUGUGAUGGACAGCCCUUGACACACAGUUUCUUCUACGCACCAUGUGUGAUGCAUUCAAUAACGCAAACGAUAAAAUUGUUAAUACCGUGUGGAAUGGAAACGCUAUCACAAACGAUUUAACGGGGAAAAUUGUGUGUGAUGUACUUGCGAACAGAAAUGUUUUCCUCGGAGCGACUGUGUGGGAUGUAUAUACGAACGGAAACGUUUAACGGUGACUGACUGUGUGGGAUGUACUUGCGACCGGAAAUGAUUUCGCCUGUAUAAUUGUAUAUUUUUAGCUCUACUAUACGUAUUUCCGUAUUUGAGCGCUCGCCGGUCGCACACGACCUCAUUUUGCCGAGCGUGUGUGCCAGGAGGGCAUAUCCCGACGGUUUCUGGGUCGUGUGGGAAGGACCCCCCUAUCGCCCACACUCACUAGGCGACGGUUCCAAAUGCCGUCGCGGAAAGGGGUUAAAACCCAUUUGUAUAACACCUUGCUAUACUAGUGAGUGGCUUCUUUCCGUCUCUGAAUUGAAAUGCGACCUAACUCUAGGCUGGGCCCGUCUGUGAACUCGGUCUGCCGGUUUAAAUAAUAAAAUUCCAUGAAUAGUUCUACGGUGGGCUCCUGUUGAAGGUACACCUCGCAGAGCACUUGAAAGUUGCAGAUGUUUGAAACGGAAUUUGGUCCGAUAUCGGAUGGAGCUUGAGAAAAUGCAGCACAUCGCAGAAGAUUUUGAGCCGGGAGGGCUGAAACCUUGGAGCAUAUGAUCAGUGAAGACAAUUACUUGACCGUCCUUGGGCUCAGGAGGGGUUUCUGUGCCUGGGACCCUCCAAUGGAUGACAUCUUUUUUGGCCAGGGCGCCUGUUUGAACAUAUUCAGUUAAUUCUUCCUCGGUGACCCGGGAAACGACCCAGUUGCAUGCAGUGACAGUCUUAGGCAUUUUGAGGGUGAAGGCCUAAAUGAAAGAAAUAUUGCCCGUUUAAGAUUAAGCUGCUAAGCCGGACCAUUGAUUCAAAAGAAAAGUGCAAUAAACGGCCAAUGCGUUAAGCCGGAAGAUGAACACUGGAGUACGUGGAUAUUCAUAUUGGCAGCUUAAAAGGGGACUAAUGGUACCUGGCGGGUUAUGUUUUAUUGGUUAAGCCGCCCAAACAGUUGCUAUGUUUCAGAUCUACAAGUGAGGAUUUGCUAAGUAGCGGAAAAACAUAUUCCACAGAUCGACACUACGAUUUUGGAUCUACAAUAGUUUGGAAAAUAAAAUAAAUUUUAUACCUAAAGUGAAGGCAGUAGAAGAAUGCAUGCGUUCAGAUGGAUCUAAUACAGAAAAAGUACCUAUUGCAGUUGGACAAAGGGAUGCUACGCUGCUACCGCACGUUUUCGAUAACAUUUUCAGAUUCAACCGUGCAAUCUGGAGAAGAGUAAAGAAGAACAGAGGGGAACUCCGAUGAACUAGGACUAACCCUAAUGAAGAUCUGCUACGAGGAAGAAGAAGUGCUUACGGAUGCUGCUGGAUAGCGGAGGUACGCCGCGAUGCUCUGGUUCGUUCAGGUCGAUGCAGCGGCCGGAGUUGAGGAAGUUGACGAGGUCGACGGCGGCAGAGCUCGAGCGCGUGCGUGGCGUUGCGAAGAAGAGGAUGAAGACAAGGAGGCAUGGGGGGAAAUGAAAAGGACCCCUGUCCCUAUUUAUAAGGAGAUGGAUAACAAGCAUGCAUGUGAAUCGAGGAGGCCGAAAAAUGAUUAUGUGGCUGCACAGGCGCCUCGAAUUUCGGAAAGUCAAUUAAAGAUGAAGAUCUGUUGAGAUGUUCUGGGCUUCGUGCGAAGUUAAUGCAAGAUGAUGUCAUGGCGGAUUAACAAGAUUCUGUAAGCUGACGUCAUGGCGGGUUAUAGCAAGUUCAUGAAAAUUGACGAUGCAAGAUUCUGCUAAGUCAAGCAUUGAAGAUUGAUGUGAACCAGUUCAAAUCAACUUGGGGCCUAAUGUUGGGGACAUAACUACUGGGUAUGACCCGCCCAGAAGGGGCCGGGUCAUACCACUGGCGACUUAUAAAUGAAGAUGGUGGGUCAUGAAGCAAGCCUAUUGACGGCCCAAGACCCAGAGGCGACUUGAGGCCCAAGAGGAUGAACCGCCAUAUGUGUAACUUGUAAUGUAAGGCAAGCUCAGUUAGUCACCGAGCCGGACACGUUGUGUAUGAGCCGGCUGGGACUUUGUAAGCCGCCGGGCAUCAACCUAUGUAUAUAAAGGGGUGACCCGGCGGCGGGUUAGGGCAAGAGACAAGAGAUCGAGAACUAGGUCAAGCGUAUUCGCUCCCUGGUAAUCGAAACCCAAACAAUACAACCCCAAACUGGAGUAAGUCUUUACCUCGUUGCGAGGGGCCGAAGCAGUAUAAACUCUCUGUGUCCUUUGUUUCGAUUAACCCCUUCAAGAUAACCUAGUUGCGAUGGCUCCACACCUAAGUCCUUUCGCUAAGGCAUCUGCCGUGUUGAGUCCACGACACACUUGCUGCCCGCAAAGCCCUCCAGAGGAUGAGGAAAUUGUGGACAAGAUCUUCAUUUGGGUGCUACCUGGUAUCUCGAACCCAAGUGUCGUUUGUGAGCGCCUCGGCCACGCACCUGUUCUUUCCCCUCGAGCGCUUGAACAGGUCCAGGAACAGAGUGGCAAGGUUUGCAGAGGUGAUCCAUGGUGACUGCCAGAAGGAAGCUAGCUUGCCAUCGCCAAGGGUGACUGUGGUUGCACUAUCAAAUAGGGCUCUGUCUGUUUUGUCACAUGGGAGUUCAGACCCCUUCCAUGGUCUGUCUUCGUUUUGCCAAGUAAGCCACAACCAUCUCAGGCGCAAGGCACUUGAGAACUUCUGCAGGUCGUGUAUACCAAGUCCUCCAUUCUCAGUCGGUGCACAUAUGCUCUUCCAGGCAACCUUGCAUUUUCCUCCGCUGAGCUCCUCCUCCUGUGCCCAUAGAAACUUCUGGCGAACUUUUUCAAUUUCUAUGAACAGAUGUUUGGGCGGCCGUAGAACAGAGAGUGCAAAAGUUGGGAUUGCAGACAGGACGCUUCGGACAAGCACUCUUCUCCCUGCGAUGGACAUCAGCCGGCCCUUCCAACUCGUAAGGCGAGCUCGGGUACGAUCCAGAAUGAACUGAAAAUGAACAAGCCUUGCUCUCCCGAGGCUUAUUGGCAAGCCCAGGUACUUGAUCGGGAAUUCGGCUAUCCGCCCGCCAAAAUUUUGCAGAACGUCCUGGAGAUUGAUGUGAUCACAUCUUAUGGGUGUGACAGUGCAUUUGUUGAUGUUGAGGUGCAGGCCUGAUGCAUCACCGAAGCGAGAUAUGAUGUCCAACAGCUUGUCAAUCUCUUCCUGGUCGGGGUUUGUGUAGAUCACGACGUCGUCAGGAUACAUGCUGGUGCGCAGUUUCAGCUCUCUUCCUAGCAGUGGUGCAAGAAUGCCAUCCUCGGCAGCUUUUGUUAUGAGGCGAUGGAGGACGUCAAUGGCUAGGAUGAACAGCAGCGGGGACAGGGGGUCUCCUUGCCGCAGCCCCCGUCGGUGGAUCAGAGAUGCUCCUUGGUCAUCAUUCAGCAGGAAGGAGGAUGAUGACGACCGGAGCAGCAGGGCGAUCCAGUCCCUCCAACGACUGCUAAAACCCAGUUGCUGGAGCAGCUCAAGAAUGAGUUCCCAGGAUACCGAGUCAAACGCUCGAGCAAUGUCCAGUUUAAUCAGUAAAGCUGGCUUCUUUGUGUGGUGUAGUGAUCGAACUGAGUUUCUGACAUACAGGUAGUUGUCCUGUAAGCAUCUUGAUUUGAGGAACGCACUCUGGGCUGGCAAAAUGAUGGAGGAGAUCUUCUCGGCCAAUCUUAGUGACAGCACCUUGGUAAUGAGCUUUGCUAUGGAAUUGAUUAGAUUAAUGGGCCUAAAAUCCCCCACUGACUCAACUCCAUCUUUCUUGGGCAGCAAGGCCACAAAAGUAGAAUUAAUCUUCGCAAAGUUGGCUCCUGAAAAGCUAUGGAAUUGGUUGAAAACAGCCAUCACCUCAUCUUUUAUGAUAUCCCAGCAGGUCCUGAAAAACUGCCCGUUGAAGUCGUCUGGCCCCGGCGCCUUCUCCGCCGGCGAGGCCAGAAUUGCGUUCCAAAUCUCGGCUUCUGUGAAAGGGGCGUCUAGACCAUCGGCUUGAAUAGUUGGCAGUUGAAUCCCAACCCAGUUAAUGGUGCAUCCUUUGGGCUCGGCAGCUCCCAUGAUCUUGUUGAAGUGCUCACAGAUGAUGUUGGCCUUCUCAUCAUGCUCGAUCGCCACAUGGUCAUCGGUCCGCAGGGAGUGUAUGAAAUUUUUCCUCUUCCUGGAGCAAAUUUUGGCGUUGAAGAAGGCAGUAUUAGCGUCACCAGCCUUUAGCCAGGUUAUCCGAGAGGCCUGGCGCCGCCGACCUCUUUCAACUGCAGCAAGGCCGAUUAUUCUUUGCUUCCGGAGCUUUCCGAGGUUGAAUUCAACCGGGGUUAACUGACACUUUUCCAUCGCCAUAUCAAACCUCAGGAUUAUCUCUGAUGCAAUGUGAAACUGCAAUCUGGUGUCGCUGAACAUGCUGCAGCUCCAAAUCUUGAGAUCUUUGGCCACCCUUUCAAGUCUCCUUUUGAUUUUGCUGAAGGCGCAUGUUUGGGUGGCAGGGCGUUGCCAUGCCCGCUGCACUGUUUCCCUGAAGUGUGGAAACUUGAUCCAGAAACUUUCGGAACAAAAUCUUGCCUGCCUUGGAGGAGCGGUAGCACUGGCCAGGAUCAGACGGCAGUGAUCCGAGCAUGACGUGGACGCAGCGACGAGCAUGAAGGAGGGGAAAAGGGCCUCCCAUUCUAGGCUGACGAAGAACUUGUCGAUGCUAACUAACGUGGGCGAUUCCCUCUCAUUGCUCCAAGUAAACCUCCUAUUCUUGCACUUGAUUUCUUUUAGUGCCGCCGAGUCUAAUGCCGUUCUAAAUCUACUCAUCAUUCUUCUAUUAAUAUUGAGGUUAUUUUUGUCCCUCGCUUCGUAGAUGACGUUGAAAUCCCCAUUAAUGAGCCAUGGAGUGCCUAAAGGGGGGGCGUGCUAGCUAAUUCGGCCAAGAAAGCCUCCUUGUUCGUGCCAUCGGAGGGGCCGUAGACCGUGGUGAGCACAAAACUAGUAGCCGUGCUAGCUAGAGUUACAGUGGCCGUGAUCGAGAAUUGACCGACGGCCUGGGAGCAGACAGACACAAGGUCCCUGUUCCAGAAGAUCACGACGCCUCCCCUAGAUCCUAUCGCCAGAAGAACUACGCAGUCUUUCAUCCAACUACCUCCGAUGUCGCUAACCAUGGCUUAAGUCCAUGUAUCUAUCUUAGUUUCCUGGAUAUAGAGGACAGCAAGUCGCUGCGCAACCCCUACUUCUCUAACUGUUUCCCGCUUUGCCACGAAGUUCAGUCCCUGGAUAUUCCAGGACAUGAUCGCACAGUUGAUGUUACUCAUGGGGACACUUGAGGAUUCUCCAGAGAAUAAAAUUACUAAGAAGGUAGAAGUACACAUCAACUACAACCGUGGCAUGUCGACCGACACCAAUAGGCCCCAACCCCAGUCGACAUGGGAACUUUCCCUCUAUCCAAGCACUAAUCAUGGGUCCUAACUUAAGCCAGUCGAGGUCUGAUCGCCUCUGAAGACUACACCUAAGUUGCAGCAACAUAAUCUGAGCUUCAUCCCCAAGGGGAGCUCCAUCAGGGCUAGCGAGGCCGGCGGCAAUGCGAAGAGCAGCAGGGUCCUGGCGCGUGAGCUUCGCCAAGCCGAUGAUGUCAUCUUCAGUGAGUGACUCAUCAAACUUCUUGAUCAGGGCCUUGGCCGCCUUUGGGGUCAUCUUGUCGUUCGGCCCGAGCAGCCCGAGGUCCCGGAUGAUGCGCAACGUUGCGCGGUGUGCCACCGGCACCUCUGUGUGGUUGCUAGCCUGCCGGGCACUCUGUCGUACCAGAGCUGAAGCAAUCCUCGUCUUCUUGGGUGCAGAUGGGCGUGGCGGGGGGAGCAGGGGCACCGAGACGUCAGCAAAGAGAAGUUGGCAAGCCUAAGGGAAUUUUGCCACACUUUUUUUGUGUAUGCCAUGUGAGACCAAGUGUGGCUUGCCUAAGGUUUGUCUGGAACCAAACACUUGCCUAAAUUGGUCAAACUUGCCUAAUCUUAGAUGUCAGAUGGGCGUGGCGGGGGGAGCAGGGGCACCGAGACGUCAGCAAAGAGAAGUUGGCAAGCCUAAGGGAAUUUUACCACACUUUUUGUGUGUAUGCCAUGUGAGACCCAAGUGUAGCUUGCCUAAGGUGUGUCUGGAACCAAACACUUGCCUAAAUUGGUCAAACUUGCCAAACCUUAGAUGUGGCAAUCUUUGGCAAAGUUAGUACAAACCAAACGGCCCCAAAAUGGAGCAAAGUUUAUAAUGUUUUUGGGGUAAAAUUUUCGAUCUAUUCAUCAAACAUCACGACAGUACAAAAAACACGAGAAGUUACAAAAAAUUGCAUCCAUGUAUGUAGACCUCGAGCGACAACUACAAACACUAGAGUGAGGCGAAGGUGCGUCGUUGUCAUCGCUCCUCCCUCACCGGAGUCGGACAAACUAUGUUCUAGUGAACAGUCAAGAAGCCGUUAUGCUAAGGCCCAAAAGGACUAGCACCCCAGAACAACAUUCGUCGCCGAUGACGAGAAGCAUAGACUUGUAGACGUAACACAGACGGACGAAGAUCAAAUCCACAUAAAUCUACCAAAGACAACAAAAUCCCGCAAGAUCCGUUGGGACGUGAGACGCACUGCGGGGACAAAUCCUAGGCGGGUAGAACCUUAUUCCAUCGUUAAAGAAGCGCCGCUGCCUUGCCUUCCUUAGCAAUACUUAAAAUGAAGCAUGAGCCCUCCCGCCAACAAAGGACAGAAUCCACCGUGCCUCCAUGACCCUAAUGACACAGGAGACGAGCCAGAUUAGCGACGACGCUGGCAGGAGGCAGGGAAACCCAAAAUACCUAGGAUCCUUUAUUUCUUUCUCAAGAUGAAAGAAAACACAUGUACCACAUGUGUUCCAUUCAGUAGGAUACAACUAUAAAUUCUAUUUGUAUAUGCAUAUCAUGCAAAACUAAACAGGGAAACAACAAAAAUGUUUCAAGACACACAAGCUCAUACAUAUGCAUAUAGACUCACUUGAAUGAAUGUACGCACGCAUGCUCUAUCCCUAUGAGCACCUCUGAGAGACUGAACCAACACAUUAUUUUGAGAUUGACGAAGCCGCCACUGACGCCUCCGUAGUCGACGAAAAUGUCUCCUCCCACAGAACGAAUAUCCUCAGGAACCUUAAAAUAAAUCCAGAAAAAUGGAAGCAGCAGUGUCAAGUCUAUGAUUAAACCAUGAUGGACCGGUUCCAUCCAAAAAAAACUAACCAUGUUAGCUCGUCUCUGGGAAACCCAUAUUUUGCUAACCCUAAAGUGAGCAUGUACCUCACCCCAGCCUUGAACUCAAGAAAGAUGUAGGCCUUUCCACGCAGGUCCUCUGUUUCCAUCAGUCCACAAAGUACCGAGCAUCUGAUCGUGGUGACUUUCGCAAAGCCGGUAGGGUGGUGAUUUGUUUAGCCACAAAGUUAAACCGCCCCCGUCGUUUGACCGAGAUUCUCUGCCCCCCGUUUAACAAAAGUCCCCGCGCGAUCGACCUGACACCAUCAGCCCGCGCGCGCCCGGUGCCAUGCCCAUGCGCACCCCCCAAUACAUAAACGGUUGCUCCGUACGCUACGCAUGGCCGCAUCGGCGCCGGCCGACGGAGAGCAUCAUCCUGCGCUCGCUCAUUGGACCGCCGUCUCUGAGCCCUUUUAACUAAAAGAACAGGGGCGGAGGACGCGCGGACACGUACCGGCGGGGGGCGCGCUGGUACGUGGCGUGCGCGCCGGCCGGCCGACGGCGGGCGGGGCGUGGAAAGGUGGCGGGCGGGCGUGGUGCGCCGGUGGGAAUGCGUGACAAACCGAGGGCUACGGAUGGAUGGUGCUGCCACCUUUUGCUGGUUCAUUAACUAAUUGUUGUUCUGAUACGGGCAGAUGAUCCUGCGCUGCGUUUUUCAAAAGUUUUUAUUUGCUCGCGGGUGACGCAACUGACCUGGCCCGGUGCUUCUUGCUCAAGGAAAAGUCCAGCUUCACCGCCGUUCAAAAGGUGAACAUGGAACGACUGCGUUGCGUUUGACUGAGUACUUUCUUCAUCCGAAAUUAGUUGACGCUCAAACGUCUACAUACAUCGGUUUUGAUUUCGGGCGGAGGCAGUAGUAUAUACUCCUACAAUACAACUCACAGGGAACAGAGCACUGCUGUGCAUCGUUAUUACUGGGCAUGUUCCGUCUGUGAAACUGGAGCGCGCCGCACACGGAAAGCGACCUGUGCCGCGCUGCUGCUGCCGCUGGUAACGCUGCGCGCAGAUAGAUUGUUUGUUGCACCUUUUCUCUCUUUUCUUUUCUUUUCUUUUCUUUUCUACUCCCCACCACAGGGACAGAGGCACACAGGCGCUCCUCUCGCACUCGCACUCGCACACGACAGGCAGGGGCAGGGGCAGGAGCGCGCCACCCCACCCGUUUCCCUGUAAAGUUCUGCCGCACCCGCACACAUCAAAAGACUAAACGGAUAAUUAGCCCGGCUAGAUAAUCCUGGGACUAAAUUAACAUGAAACAGUGGAAAUAUUAUGCCUUUUCCUAACCCGAAAAGUAUCAUCGCCGUGUGGUUUUCAUGCAGCAGCAGCUGGGGGCGAGUUAACAUAUUGCUAGUGCGUUGAAGCGAAGGGAAAGAAGAGCAGACGCAGAGGAAAAGGCUAGAGAGAGAGAGAUACUGCUACUACCACGUCCUGCCCACCCCACGUUGAGUCAUUGACAUUGCGACGGAGCAAGCAGGAGGAGGAGGCGGCUUUGGCAGCCACAGAGAGCAGAGAGCAGAGCAGAGCAGCGGCCGAGGAGGAGUUAAUAAUACCACCACCACCCCUUCCAUGGUUCACACGCCACGGCAUCACCAUCAUUGCCGCCUCCUCCUCCCUCCCUCCAUAUCCCCUUCUUUAAUUGCUGCUGCUGCGUUUAAGCCUCCCCCACACCAACCCAACCGCGCCUCUCUCUUCCCCUGCUGCCGCUGCGUACUGCUGGUGGGUUUUUUCGUCCGUGCUCUGCUUCCCGCUGCUUCUCUCUCGCGCCGUCCCGGGGUGCCAAGGAAGUGCAUGGGAAGAAGAAGAAAACACCCAGCCUGAGCGAGCGUCAGACAGACAGUGAGGUCUUCUGCGAGGGCGUGAGGGAGCUAGAGGCUGCCCAACGGAGAGGGAGGGAGGGAGGGAGGUAGAAGAUGAAGUUCAUGAAGCUGGGCUCCAAGCCGGACGCCUUCCAGUCCGGCGGCGCCGACGUCAGGUCAGUCACCCUCUUCCCUUCUUUUCUUUUUUCCUUACCGCUAUCUAGCGUUGCUUCCUUCCUGCUCAAACUGUUUGGUGUCUUACGUUUUUCCUUGGUCGCACCGCCGCUUCUCCGGUUCAUGGCGGCGGAGCAGAACCUCUUCUCGUCCAUCUCCUUCGCCUCUUGUUCUACACGUAGCUAGGCGCGUUUCCCCGCUAGAUUCUUGCCACAGACGCCGUCAUCCUCUUUCUUCUGCUGGCUGGUGCUUCCGGUGAGAAUGAGAUUCUUGCAAGCUUAUUCGUGCCGUGUGCGUCCCUUUGGAAGACCAGAGCUUCUAGAAUGGCGGCCGUUCGGGAACCGCUCUUCUUGCAUCACCACCUUCUUACUCCGACUGUCAUGCUUGCCCAGUAACCAAUCUCUCCGUCUCCUCGCGCCUCUUCCUCUACCAGUUUAUGUCGAGUUUUGGGCCUGGCAUUGCACUUGGAUCUUGGUUAGUCCCUUGUUCGAUUGCUAAUGCACCAUAUAAUAACUGUUUCAUUUCGAGUCACGGCGUGAGUUGACUAUGGGUUCUUGGGAAGUGCAGAGUGCUAGGCUGUGUGCGCCGUUUCUAUCUAUCUCUACCAGUUUCUGCCUUGUCCUGUCCCCUCUGCCUGCCUUCUUUUGUUUAUGCUUCCUACAUGUGUGGCUCUCUACGCUUCUCUCAACUGGAUCUAGCACUAUGAUACCACUAGUAGCAGAACGGAGUUUCUCCAACUGAUCCCUCGAGCUGGCAUUCCUUGUUUCUCUCGGGAUUAGUUGUUCGUGUCCAUCCCAUUGUCUUCAUCCUGCACGCUAGCCUGUUAUACGGUUCGGUUUACAGUGACGGGCAGUCCUCUGAUUUAAAAAAUACUCUUGUUGUAAUGUACUGUGGUUCAUUUAUUCAUCCUUGGGUCUCAUUUGAGCUGCAUCCAGCAUUCAUUUGAAAUGUUCUUGUAUCUUUUUCCCGGUGUCCGCCAGUGCUGUGGCUGCCUUUCACCCUCAUACAGAUUGCAAGGCAUCAUUUGCUCGCCCAAAAGAAUGAUUGACUUCCUUUUGUCUUUUAAAUCCGAAGAUGCAGCACUUGUUUUCUCUCCUCUUUGCUAGUGCGGAAUAGAUCUGAGUGCUAGGGGCAAUGCGCUGAGCGCCAGUAUUAAUAUAAGGUAGAUGCCACUACGUCCUGCUGUUCGUCUCAGGCAACUUGGUUAAAGUUGGCCAGGGUUAAGUUAUUGUCAAGGAAGGGAGAAAACAAUUGUCAUCUCCCCGUCUCACUAAUCAUUGAUCAGACCUCACUUUCCCUUCGGUUAAUCUAAAGAAUCCAGCAUUCUUUUCUCUGAAUGCCAAGUGCUAGUGGUAAAAAAGAAAUGGGUUUAAAGCAGAGCUUGAGCCUGACAUAUGUAUCUUCUUGGCAAGGUGCUUUUGUAGCCAGUUAACUAGAUGAAGAAACAUUGGAAAGGGAUGGUGUCAAGCUCAAGUUGAGAGCCUGUGGGAUUUCUGGACCUUGUUAAUUACUCCCUCCGUUCCAAAAUAGAUGACUCAACUUUGUACUAACUUUAAUACAAAAUUAGUACAAAGUUGGGUCAUCUAUUUUAGAAUGGAGGGAGUACUAAUGAUUAUUAGUGCACUAAUGAUUAUUAGUGGCCAGCUGAUCGCAUGCAUACGUGUCCUGUUCACCAACUCCAGACCCCUAGUGUUCUGCUUCUUCCCUUUGCUGAACUGGAUAACUGGAAAGCGAGCCGCGCAGUCUAGUUUAACUGCCACUGCAUGUUUUUCCUCCAUUAUUGAUGUGUUGUUGAUGUAGUGGAGGUCUUUACAGCUUAGGAUAAGCUUCAUGUCUACGCUGUUGUCAUGUGUUUUGAGAGAGCGACUAGUCAAUGGUUUAUGGGUGACGGUCGAUACGAGGUCGGGCAUGUGUAAUCGACUGUGUUAACGUAAUCUCAGAUGGUUUUUUUGAUUCAGAUAGUUUUGACAUUUUCCUGAGGUUCUCCACAAUCGAUACAUGUUGCGUAAACAAAAUUGGUAUGUGCGAUUUCGCGGUGAAAGCCUUAUAGGAGCCUUGUAGGAGCGUUAGGCGGGUAGGAGAACUACUUGUAUAAAAACUAAAUCUCUGUAAUGUUACCAUGGCUACCAAAGAGUGUUUCUGUAUUCUGUUUCGUAAUAUGAUAUGCUCACAAGUUUGUUGAUGCGUGCAGAUUGGUGGUCUCUGACCUUGCAACAGAUGUCAUUGUGCAUAUCGGUGAAGUCAGAUUCUACUUACACAAGGUCAGUGUGCUAGUAUUUUCAGCAAUUUUUGCUGAAGUCAACACUAAGCAUUUAUAUUUGCUUCUACAAAUAACGGCCAAGGGUGGUGGAAGUAGAUAUGUGUUACAUCCUGGAGCACGUAGUUCUUCAGACAUAGAAUGUUCAACUGUCGGGGUCUCUUUGUCAUGCCAUCAAGAGUAGUAACAUCAUCAACAUUUAUGCUUCACGUCUGAUUGCUGUUGGGCUGUCUCUUUCCAAUCUACUGGAUCCUGUUUCACACACAAAUUAUUUUUACUGCCAAGCUGAUUAUCAACACCACCUUAAAAUAUUUCUGAUGGCAUAGGCAAUCUAACCAAACAAAUCAAAGAAUCAUCCAUUACAUUUAUGUUACCAUUCUUCAACCUAACAACACCUUAUAGCAACCCUAUGCCGUUUAUUUCUUAACUAGGUCUGCUUAUAGCUUAAAGUAAAGAAAGUGGAUUGUGCUAUCAAAGUGUGUUGAAUCAAGUAAAACCUACCUGCAUGGAGCACUUCGGUACUUAAUAUUGGUGCUGGUAAACUUUAAUUUUACCAGGGCAUCAGUUAGCUAUUUAAAACUUGCCUAAAUUUUAGGGUUGUUUCAGACUCCCAUGACAAUAAUUCAACUGAAAACACUGCUGAAGGAAAGAAUACCCUAAUAGAAUUUGCAUAGAUACAAGCUUAAUCAUUUUCAUGAAUUGUUUGGCAUUUUGUCACCGAGUGUUGUAAUCACCAGUGCUGCAUUAUGUAAAUGACUUAUUUUCUAGCUGGUGAUAACUCAUAUGCAGAACAAUAUCUGAUUAUCAUUCAUGACUGAAAAUUUAUGUUUGUGUUGAUUGUCGUAUGCAGUUUCCCCUUCUGUCCAAGAGCAGCAAGCUUCAGAAGCUAGUCCUUAAGGCUACUGAGAAAGGGACAGAUGACGUCCACAUAGAUGAUUUACCGGGGGGAGCGAAAGGGUUUGAAAUAUGUGCAAAAUUCUGCUAUGGGAUGGUUGUCACCCUCAGUCCCCACAAUGUUGUUGCAGCAAGAUGUGCAGCAGAGUACCUUGGAAUGACUGAAGAUAUGGACAAAGGGAACUUGAUAUUCAAAAUCGAGGUCUUCAUAAACUCCAGCAUCCUCCGGAGCUGGAAAGAUUCGAUCAUUGUUCUCCUGAGCACGAAGGCACUAUUACCUUGGUCUGAGGAGCUGAAGGUUGUCGGUAGAUGUAUAGAUGCCAUUGCUUCAAAGACAUCUGUGGAUCCUGCAAAUGUAUCCUGGUCAUACAGUUAUAAUAAGAAAGGAGUAGCAUGCACUGAAAUAAUUGAGUCGGCAGGAAAAACAUCGGUAGCUCCCAAAGACUGGUGGGUCGAGGACUUGUGUGAAUUGGAUGUUGAUCUCUACAAGAGAGUGAUGGUUGCUAUCAAAUCCAAGGGGAGGAUGUCACCUGACUUGAUAGGAGAAGCCCUCAAAGCCUAUGCAGUUAGGUGGCUGCCAGACUCUUACGACGCUCUGGUCGCUGAUGAUUACAUGAGAAGGAACCAAUGCUUGGUGGAGACCAUAAUAUGGUUGCUGCCGUCAGACAAGAGCUCAGGUUGCUCUUGCAGGUUUCUCCUGAAGCUGUUGAAAGUUGCUAUAUUAGUUGGGUCUGGGGAUCAUGUGAAGGAAGAGCUCAUGAGAAGGAUUAGUUUCCAGCUGCACAAAGCUUCGGUUAAGGAUCUCUUGUUGCCUGCUGCUUCCCCCAGUGAGGGAAUGCAUGAUGUUCGGUUGGUCCAUAAUCUUGUCCAGAGAUUUGUCGCAAGAACAGCACUAUCUCACAAUGGCGAUUUUGUCGAGAAAUCUGAUGAGAAAAUGAUUGAGCUCAACUUUGAGCAAGAAUCCACUUUGGCUCUAGGGGAGUUGGUUGAUGGGUACCUAUCCGAAGUAGCUGCAGAUCCAGACCUUGAAUUCUCCAACUUUGUAGAACUAGCUACGGCGGUGCCAGAAGCAGCUAGACCUGUUCAUGACGGCCUAUACUACGCGGUUGAUGCGUAUAUCAAGGUAUGUUCAAUGCACUUGAUGAACCUAAAUUUGCUCAAUGGUUGCUGUCAGUACUUUUUGCUAUACGAUGAAUGAACACUUGAUGCUAAUAAACUUACAAAUCGGAAACAUAGUUAUACUAGUCUUUGGUAAGCAUGGAAGCAGACUUGAUAAAUCACCUGUAUGCUAUCUCACCUUUAGAAGACCAUAACCGCACCUGAUCAUUUGCUUCUUUCUAACCAGGAACAUCCAGACAUAAACAAAGCAGACAAAAAGAAGAUUUGCGGCCUGAUAGAUGUCAAGAAGCUUUCCACAGAUGCAUGCGUGCACGCCACACAAAACGACCGCCUGCCUCUCCGGGUGGUGGUGCAGGUCCUCUUCUUCCAGCAGCUGAGGGCGGGUUCAAGCAGUGUACCAGCUCCAACUGACGGCGGAGAGCAUGCUUGUGCAAAGCCUGUGCAGGAACAAAGCGAGCACUGCGAAAGGCGGAUACCCAGGCACCCGAACAAGCUGGAUAAGCAAGUGACAAGCCUAAGCGCGAGAGGAGAGGGCGAGGACCGGCACGUCGAGCUCAGGGGAGGCAGAAACAGCUUCAAGGAUCAAGUUGUUGGCAGAAACAGCUUCAAGGACCAGGUUGUUGGCAGAAACAGCUUCAAGGACCAACUGGGAGGCCUCCUGCUGCAGUCGCGGUCGAGGAGGAUAUUCGACAAGCUAUGGAGCAGCAAGGGGCAUGGAGAGAACGGCAAGGGUUCAGAGACGUCCGGCAGCUCACAGAGCCCGCCAUCGACGGCAAAGCCCACGGAAGUGAAGCCCUCUCCUCUCCCCCCUCUUAGGAACAGAAGGUAUUCUGUUUCGUAGGGGCUCUUCUUACUGCUUCCCCAUCUUGUUUUAGUUUAGCUUUGGGUUAGGUUUGUACAGGAAAGAGAAGUUAUCAGCUGAUGCUCAUCAUUUUUGUUUGCUCCUUGCCCUUGUCAAUGAAGAGAAAAUAUGUGAGGGAGGACUGUAAGCAGCUCAAUAUGCUGCUCUCUGUAUGGUGGUUAUCUAAGGCAUAGGCCUGUAGCUUACCGGUGAGGAAAGAUCUACUAGGGUUUGUUCUUCUCUGAAAUGUUUAUGAAGAACAAGAUAAAAGGGUUUGUGUCAAACACUCUCGAAUACUAGCAUCAGAUUGCAGGACACAAAGAACAUGGAUUACAAUGAUUGCAGUACUAUAUUUUUCAUUUGAGGUCGAUGUGACCCAAAGUGGCUUCUAUCUAAACCAUUACUGAUUCUGCCAUCUCAAAUCAGAAUGUUUUCAGGAUUCGGCGAACCAGCGUCACAUGAAUAUUGUUAUUUUCCAAUCAAUCUUUCUGCAUUUAGCCCUAAAAUGGAACUUGCAAUCUUGAAUUCAGGAAAGAGUGACAGAGACACAACCCAAAAUUCAGAUGAUAUAUGGCAGAGCUAAUAACAGAGGCAGAUAAACUUGCGAGUAGUUUUGUCAAAUCAUAUAGGCAGAUAACAUGGAAGACAGCCCCUCCCACUAAGCAAAGCUAGUUUGUUAUUAUCUCUUUGCAACACAGGUUCCAUGCCACCAAUGGUCACUUCUCUCAGGACGCAAGCGUUUCCAUUACAGCUUAACUAG